CAAUAGCGUAUAUUAAAGUUGUUGCGGUUAAAAAGCUCGUAGUUGGAUUUCUGCUGAGAACGACCGGUCCGCCCUUUGGGUGUGUAUCUGGCUCUUUCUUGGCAUCUUCUUGGUGAACGUUGCUGCACUUGACUGUGUGGAGCGCUACCCAGGACUUUUACUUUGAGGAAAUUAGAGUGUUUCAAGCAGGCAUACGCCUUGAAUACAUUAGCAUGGAAUAAUAAGAUAGGACCUCGGUUCUAUUUUGUUGGUUUCUAGAGCUGAGGUAAUGAUUAAUAGGGAUAGUUGGGGGCAUUCGUAUUUAACUGUCCGAGGUGAAAUUCUUGGAUUUGUUAAAGACGGACUACUGCGAAAGCAUUUGCCAAGGAUGUUUUCAUUGA
RNAcentral lists this ribosomal RNA (380 nucleotides) under uncultured eukaryote. Its description in RNAcentral is "partial 18S ribosomal RNA". It matches the Rfam family "Eukaryotic small subunit ribosomal RNA", at positions 592 to 976 of the family's 1831-position model. The record is from RNAcentral.